GGAAACACAAAGCAGCCUGGGACUUCAGAAGCAGCCACAGGGACACCAUGACCUGGAUGGCCCUUCUCCUCAGCCUCCUGUCUCAUUGCACAGGGUCUGUAGAAUCAUAUGUGCUGACUCAGCCAUCCUCAGUCUCAGUGACCCCAGGACAGACAGCCAGAAUCACCUGUGAGGGCAACAACAUUGGAAGUUAUAAUGUGCACUGGUACCAGCAGAAGCUGGAACGGGCCCCUAUGCUGGUCAUACAGUUUGAUAGCGACCGUCCCUCUGGGAUCUCUGACCGAUUCUCUGGCUCCAACUCUGGGAACACAGCCACCCUGACCAUCAGCAGAGCCCAGGCUGAAGAUGAGGCUGACUAUUACUGUCAGGUGUGGGACAGCAGCAGUAAAGCUCACAGUGACACAGGCAGACAGGGAAGUGAGACAGAAACCUCCACCAGCCUGGCAUCCAAGACCCCUCCCUUCCUUCAUCACCCUGACAGCAGAUAG
Non-coding RNA from Sciurus carolinensis (gray squirrel), 488 nucleotides. NCBI's taxonomy places the organism in Eukaryota, Metazoa, Chordata, Mammalia, Rodentia, Sciuridae. The record is from the annotation of a RefSeq genome assembly.